GUACUUUCAGGCAGUACAUCAACUAAAAUUGAGGCGAUACAGAGAAGAUUAGCAUGGCCCCUGCAAGGAUGACCCUAAAAAACGUGGGCGCUCCUUUUUCUUU
Molecule: small nuclear RNA, 103 nt
Organism: Polypterus senegalus (gray bichir)
Lineage: Eukaryota; Metazoa; Chordata; Cladistia; Polypteriformes; Polypteridae
Source: RefSeq, a predicted model, not a curated record